This is a long non-coding RNA of Octopus sinensis (East Asian common octopus), 300 nucleotides long. RefSeq lists it as uncharacterized. The transcript is spliced from 2 exons. NCBI's taxonomy places the organism in Eukaryota, Metazoa, Mollusca, Cephalopoda, Octopoda, Octopodidae. The record is from RefSeq and is a predicted model, not a curated record.
UUAAUAAUAUUGUAAUAUUUAACAGCUGUGGUAUUAUAACUGUACUAAGGUAGCAAAAUAAUUUGCUCUAUAAAUUGGGGCUAGAAUGAAUAGUUUGACGAAAAUUAUACUGUCUCUAUUUUAUUUAUUAGAAAUUAAUUUUUAUAGUGAGAAAGCUCAAAUGAUUUAAAGGGAUGAAAAGACCCUAUUGAACUUAUAUAUAUUGUUUAUUUGUUUAUAUAUGAUUUAUUUAUAAUUAGUUUUGGUUGGGGUGAUCAAGGAAUAAAAAUUCUAGGUUAAAAAUAACUUCCUUAAAUUAUU